RNAcentral lists this ribosomal RNA (253 nucleotides) under uncultured bacterium. RNAcentral describes it as "partial 16S ribosomal RNA". It matches the Rfam family "Bacterial small subunit ribosomal RNA", at positions 524 to 776 of the family's 1533-position model. The record is from RNAcentral.
UACAGAGGUCUCAAGCGUUGUUCGGAUUCAUUGGGCGUAAAGGGUGUGUAGGUGGCGCGCUAAGUCGGGUGUGAAAUUUCGGAGCUUAACUCCGAAACUGCAUUCGAUACUGGCGUGCUUGAGGACUGGAGAGGAGACUGGAAUUCAUGGUGUAGCAGUGAAAUGCGUAGAGAUGCGGAGGAACACCGAUGGCGAAGGCAGCCCCCUGGGCUAAGACUGACGCUGAGGCACGAAAGCGUGGGGAGCAAACAGG